Molecule: transfer RNA, 69 nt
Filed under: Mus musculus (house mouse)
Lineage: Eukaryota; Metazoa; Chordata; Mammalia; Rodentia; Muridae
Rfam family: tRNA
About the family: Transfer RNA (tRNA) molecules are approximately 80 nucleotides in length.
Source: Rfam by way of RNAcentral
UAGAGCAUAGCUUAGUGGUAUAGUGGAUGCUUAUUAUGCAUCAGGCCUAGAUUUAAUUUCAAGCUCUAG